Molecule: ribosomal RNA, 391 nt
Filed under: uncultured Actinomycetes bacterium
Lineage: Bacteria; Bacillati; Actinomycetota; Actinomycetes
Description: bacterial SSU rRNA
Rfam family: Bacterial small subunit ribosomal RNA
Source: RNAcentral
AAUGGGCGAAAGCCUGAUGCAGCAACGCCGCGUGCGGGAAGAAGGCCCUAGGGUUGUAAACCGCUUUCAGCAGGGAAGAAAAUGACGGUACCUGCAGAAGAAGGUGCGGCCAACUACGUGCCAGCAGCCGCGGUGACACGUAGGCACCAAGCGUUGUCCGGAUUUAUUGGGCGUAAAGAGCUCGUAGGCGGUUCAGUUAGUCGGGUGUGAAAACUCUGGGCUCAACCCAGAGAGGCACUCGAUACUGCUGGACUAGAGUGCGGUAGGGGAGCGGGGAAUUCCUAGUGUAGCGGUGAAAUGCGCAGAUAUUAGGAGGAACACCAGUGGCGAAGGCGCCGCUCUGGGCCGUAACUGACGCUGAGGAGCGAAAGCGUGGGUAGCAAACAGGAUU